RNAcentral lists this ribosomal RNA (301 nucleotides) under uncultured bacterium. RNAcentral describes it as "partial 16S ribosomal RNA". It matches the Rfam family "Bacterial small subunit ribosomal RNA", at positions 509 to 809 of the family's 1533-position model. The record is from RNAcentral.
CAGUAGCCGCGGUAAUACGAAGGGUGCAAGCGUUAAUCGGAAUUACUGGGCGUAAAGCGUGCGUAGGCGGUUUGUUAAGUCUGUUGUGAAAUCCCCGGGCCCAACCUGGGAAUGGCAAUGGAUACUGGCAAGCUAGAGUGUGUCAGAGGAUGGUGGAAUUCCCGGUGUAGCGGUGAAAUGCGUAGAGAUCGGGAGGAACAUCAGUGGCGAAGGCGGCCAUCUGGGACAACACUGACGCUGAGGCACGAAAGCGUGGGGAGCAAACAGGAUUAGAUACCCGGGUAGUCCCUGUCUCUUAUAA